Molecule: ribosomal RNA, 410 nt
Filed under: uncultured microorganism
Description: bacterial SSU rRNA
Rfam family: Bacterial small subunit ribosomal RNA
Source: RNAcentral
CAGCCGCCGCGGUAAUACGUAGGGUGCGAGCUUUAAUCGGAUUUACUGGGCGUAAAGCGUGCGCAGGCGGCCCGUUAAGACAGGUGUGAAAUCCCUGGGCUCAACCUAGGAAUUGCGCUUGUGACUGGCGGGCUCGAGUACGGUAGAGGGGGGCGGAAUUCCUGGUGUAGCAGUGAAAUGCGUAGAGAUCAGGAGGAACACCGAUGGCGAAGGCAGCCCCCUGGGCCUGUACUGACGCUCAUGCACGAAAGCGUGGGGAGCAAACAGGAUUAGAUACCCUGGUAGUCCACGCCCUAAACGAUGGGUACUAGCCGUUUGGUGCGCGAUAGCGCUGAGUGGCGAAGCUAACGCGUGAAGUACCCCGCCUGGGGAGUACGGCCGCAAGGUUGAAACUUAAAGGAAUUGGCGGG